RNAcentral lists this ribosomal RNA (370 nucleotides) under uncultured prokaryote. RNAcentral describes it as "bacterial SSU rRNA". It matches the Rfam family "Bacterial small subunit ribosomal RNA", at positions 524 to 896 of the family's 1533-position model. The record is from RNAcentral.
GACGAAGGGAGCUAGCGUUGUUCGGAAUUACUGGGCGUAAAGGGCGCGUAGGCGGCUUUACAAGUUAGAUGUUAAAGACCUGGGCUUAACCUGGGGGGUGCGUUUAAUACUGUAGAGCUAGAGGAUGAGAGAGGAAAAUGGAAUUCUAGGUGUAGAGGUGAAAUUCGUAGAUAUCUAGAGGAACACCAGUGGCGAAGGCGAUUUUCUGGCUCAUUACUGACGCUGAGGCGCGAAAGCGUGGGGAGCAAACAGGAUUAGAUACCCUGGUAGUCCACGCUGUAAACGAUGGAAGCUAAAUGUUGGGUGGAGACACUCAGUGUUGCAGCAAACGCGUUAAGCUUCCCGCCUGGGGAGUACGGUCGCAAGAUUA